This 264-nucleotide ribosomal RNA is filed under the name uncultured archaeon. Its description in RNAcentral is "partial 16S ribosomal RNA". It matches the Rfam family "Archaeal small subunit ribosomal RNA", at positions 717 to 982 of the family's 1478-position model. The record is from RNAcentral.
AGUCACUGACAUUAGAUACCCGUGUAGUCCAGGGUGUAAACGCUGCAGACUUGGUGUUGGAGGCCCUUUGGGGGCAUUCAGUGCCGGAGAGAAGUUGUUAAGUCUGCUACUUGGGAGUACGUCCGCAAGGAUGAAACUUAAAGGAAUUGGCGGGGGAGCACCGCAACGGGAGGAGCGUGCGGUUUAAUUGGAUUCAACACCGUAAAACUCACCAGGGAAGACUGUUACAUGAAAGCCGAGAUGAAGACUCUGCUAGAUUUUCAG